RNAcentral lists this ribosomal RNA (469 nucleotides) under uncultured bacterium. RNAcentral describes it as "partial 16S ribosomal RNA". It matches the Rfam family "Bacterial small subunit ribosomal RNA", at positions 28 to 507 of the family's 1533-position model. The record is from RNAcentral.
GACGAACGCUGGCGGCGUGCUUAACACAUGCAAGUCGAACGGAAAGGCCCUGCUUGCAGGGUGCUCGUGUGGCGAACGGGUGAGUAACACGUGGGUGAUCUGCCCCUUACUUUGGGAUAAGCCUGGGAAACUGGGUCUAAUACUGGAUAGGACCAUGCUGUAGGUGGUGUGGUGGAAAGAUUAGUUUCGGUAAGGGAUGAGCUCGCGGCCUAUCAGCUUGUUGGUGGGGUAAUGGCCUACCAAGGCGUCGACGGGUAGCCGGCCUGAGAGGGUGGACGGCCACAUUGGGACUGAGAUACGGCCCAGACUCCUACGGGAGGCAGCAGUGGGGAAUAUUGCACAAUGGGCGCAAGCCUGAUGCAGCGACGCCGCGUGGGGGAUGACGGCCUUCGGGUUGUAAACUCCUUUCAGCCAUGACGAAGCCCUUGUGGUGACGGUAGUGGUAGAAGAAGCACCGGCUAACUACGUG